AAAAUUUGGCAGGGGAGAUACCAUGAUCACGAAGGUGGUUUUCCCAGGGCGAGGCUUAUCCAUUGCACUCCGGAUGUGCUGACCUCUGCGAUUUCCCCAAAUGUGGGAAACUCGACUGCAUAAUUUGUGGUAGUGGGGGACUGCGUUCACACUCUCCCCUU
RNAcentral lists this small nuclear RNA (161 nucleotides) under Castor canadensis (American beaver). RNAcentral describes it as "U1 spliceosomal RNA (ENSCCNG00000008421.1)". It matches the Rfam family "U1 spliceosomal RNA". Rfam says of the family: U1 is a small nuclear RNA (snRNA) component of the spliceosome (involved in pre-mRNA splicing). Its 5' end forms complementary base pairs with the 5' splice junction, thus defining the 5' donor site of an intron. Lineage: Eukaryota; Metazoa; Chordata; Mammalia; Rodentia; Castoridae. The record is from Rfam by way of RNAcentral.